Molecule: transfer-messenger RNA, 403 nt
Filed under: Candidatus Zambryskibacteria bacterium RIFCSPLOWO2_01_FULL_45_21
Lineage: Bacteria; Candidatus Zambryskiibacteriota
Also listed under: 1 other name
Rfam family: transfer-messenger RNA
About the family: Bacterial tmRNA, also known as 10Sa RNA or SsrA, is named for its dual tRNA and mRNA-like properties. Its role is to liberate the mRNA from a stalled ribosome.
Source: RNAcentral
GGGGCUGAAUUUAAGCUCGACGGUUGAACUUUAACAAGCUCGCGGGGCAGGUCGGAGCGCACUGAACGUUAUUCGGUGUAACGGCUUUUAAACGCCAAAGAAAAAUUUGCCGCAUUAGCCAACAGCCUUUUUGGCCGCUUGGCUCCUGUAGCAGCUGUAGCUUAAUUUUUUAAGCUACCCAUCGGCGCCUCGACUUCAGAUAAAGGUUUUCCGGUGUCAUAUCAUCUGGAUGCUUUGAACCAGAGUGGUCCGCCCUAGUUCAACUAAGAUUAACGGACUUUAGUUUGGCUUGCUUUUGAUCGUUUAUAUAAGCCUGGCUUAAGAAAUUUCAAACGAUAUAAACCUGUAGUUACCCGAGCAAGUUAUCAAUCGGACGCGGGGGCAGUGCCCGCCAGCUCCACCA